CAAUAGCGUAUAUUAAAGUUGUUGCAGUUAAAAGCUCGUAGUUGGAUUUCGGAGUGGGCCAGUUGGUCCGCCGCAAGGUGUGUUACUGACUGGUUUGCUCUUCUUCGCAAAGACUGCGUGUGCCCUUAAAUGAGUGUGCGUAGGAUUUACGAUCGUUUUACAAUUUGAAAAAAGUUAUGAAGUGUUCGAAAUGCUAGGCCUUAAUUGCUUGAAUACAUGAGCAUGGAAUAAUGGAAUAGGACUUUGGUCCCAUUUUGUUGGUUUCUAGGGCCGAAGUAAUGAUUAAGAGGGACAAUUGGGGCAUCCGUAUUUCGUUGUCAGAGGUGAAAUUCUUGGAUUUACGAAAGACGAACAACUGCGAAAGCACUUGCCAAGAGUGUUUUCAUUAAUCAAGAACGAAAGUUAGAGGAUCGAAGAUGAUUAGAU
This 426-nucleotide ribosomal RNA is filed under the name uncultured eukaryote. Its description in RNAcentral is "bacterial SSU rRNA". It matches the Rfam family "Eukaryotic small subunit ribosomal RNA", at positions 592 to 1013 of the family's 1831-position model. The record is from RNAcentral.